RNAcentral lists this ribosomal RNA (467 nucleotides) under uncultured bacterium. RNAcentral describes it as "partial 16S ribosomal RNA". It matches the Rfam family "Bacterial small subunit ribosomal RNA", at positions 28 to 506 of the family's 1533-position model. The record is from RNAcentral.
GACGAACGCUGGCGGCGUGCUUAACACAUGCAAGUCGAACGGAAAGGCCCUGCUUUUGUGGGGUGCUCGAGUGGCGAACGGGUGAGUAACACGUGAGUAACCUGCCCUUGACUUUGGGAUAACUUCAGGAAACUGGGGCUAAUACCGGAUAGGAGCUCCUGCUGCAUGGUGGGGGUUGGAAAGUUUCGGCGGUUGGGGAUGGACUCGCGGCUUAUCAGCUUGUUGGUGGGGUAGUGGCUUACCAAGGCUUUGACGGGUAGCCGGCCUGAGAGGGUGACCGGCCAAAUUGGGAAGGAGAUACGGCCCAGAAUCCUAGGGGGGGCAGGAGUGGGGAAUAUUACAAAAUGGGGGGAAGCCUGAUGCAGAAACGCCGGGGGGGGGAUGACGGCCUUGGGGUUGUAAACCGCUUUCGCCUGGAAAGAAGGGGGGGGGAGGGUAAUGGGUAAAGAAGCAACGGCUAACUACGU